UAGGAAACAGGAGGAGCUGGUGUACAGUGUGAGGAAAAGGCUGGAGGAGGCCCUGAUGGCCGACAUGAUGGCGCAUGUCGAAGAGGCUUCCAAUGACGACGAGGCUCUGAAGGACGACGGCGACGGCAGCGAAGAUAUGGAGAGUGCAUAGCACAGGGAUUUGUUCAACGCCCGCACACAUGAUCAUGAACAGUGGGAGUCUACAGCAGUCCUGCCCCGAGUAUCUGCGUUCAACCCUGACCCAACCCGACUAACACCAGUCCUGAACGACCUAAAGAACGGUCUUCCCCCGAGCCAAAAAACCCCUGGGAGUCUCAAAUGCACCUAUUCAUUAUUAACUCCACUAGAUGGGACUCCUUGACUUCAACGACAAUUAAAUUACAUAUAUAUGAGCUGACAUUAAAAAAAAAUCCCGUUUUAACUUUCAAAUAUUAAAAUUAAUUUAUCUACAGUGUGUCAAAUUCAGUUUUUGAUGAGAAGCGUAUUUUUUACCGAGAGGCUUUGAAUGGGUUUGUAUUAAUUUAGUGACAGUCAGAUCCAAACAUUUUACGUCAGCUAAAUGUUUAUCUGGAUGUUUCCUUUUUUUCUUUUUUUAGGACAGAUGGAAAUGAAUGUUUUGUAUUUUUGGCAUGUCUCUUUUUCUUUUCAUUACUCUCCAAGAAUUGUCUGACACAAAACACAAUGUUUUCUAGUCAAACCAGUUGAGCUGUAACAAUAAGUUAAUUUAAUAGGUGCCAGCCUGCAGUUCUGCUGUUGAUACUAAUGCAGACGUUGUAGUUUGAAUCCUGUGUUGAUCCAUCGGAAAGCAAAGUAAAGUUUUUAUUGUAGUAGUUUCAAGGAAAUCGUGUACUUUAUGGCAGCUGUGUCAUCCUGUGAGUAAUGGUUGUUGACCAAAGAGGUCGUUUGGAAGAGGGUUGUUUGACAUUUGUCAAAUCUGCUUGGUAUUUUUACCGUAAGCGAUUAUGUUGGCUAUGCCGUUGUAAAAUUAAUAUAAGGAAAGUAAGACACGAGUGGGAUGAGCACAACGGGAAAGAUAUCACUUAAAACCCCUUAUUAUAGGUGCUUACUGAUGUUGUGGUUGUUUAGGUUUUGUUUCUGUCCGAGUCAAUCCAGGUUUUUCUUUAUUGUUUCAAUGUUACCAGCAUAGAAUAUAUUUCCAUGUUUACCACACACAUGCUGCCUCCAUGUAAACCCAGCACAAAAUUGGUGUCAAAGCAAAAUACAGUCAAAAUGUCAUGUCAUUCAUCAUCUGAAGAAAAAUUGUUUUGUAUUUUAUAUCCCUGUGGUUUGAUGUUAAAUAAUAUAUCAAGCUAAAAUAUUGAAAAUCCCUUCUCAUUAUCAGCAGGCUGAUGCUGAAUGAAUUUGAUUGUAUUAAUUAUUAAAAAUGAGUUCAAGUCAUUAA
Notothenia coriiceps (black rockcod) is the source of this 1402-nucleotide long non-coding RNA. RefSeq lists it as uncharacterized. NCBI's taxonomy places the organism in Eukaryota, Metazoa, Chordata, Actinopteri, Perciformes, Nototheniidae. The transcript is spliced from 2 exons. The record is from RefSeq and is a predicted model, not a curated record.